GUCCAUCUGGAAAUAGGCCUUGUCUCUUCCCUACCAGCUGAAUUCUCAGCUGAAAAUGCAAAGGUCAAACACUUAGAGAAGCCUGUUUUAAUGGGGGUGGAUAUUAUUUCUGCCUCAGCCAUUUUCAGCUGGAAACCACAAGAUGGCAAUGUUGCAUCAUUCCUUGCAAGACCUUUACCCAUGGCUGUCCUGACUCCAGGUGAAUUCAAUCGCUAAGCAAUAAAUUGGGAGAUGCAGGAUCUUGUUGGUUUAACCAGCUAACAUUAUACUUGUAUUUGGUACUACUGAUUGUGUUUUCCUUGAUAAAAUGUAGCAUACUCCAGGAAAAGUAAUACAUUUUCACCCCUUGUUAGAACACUCAUGUAAUUCAAGCAAAUAACACAAACACAGUCUGAAUUUCAGUCUUCUAGACCCGGUUUUCCCCAACAUCAGACUAAUUAGUUUUAUUCCAUCUAGCCAACACCUGCUUGAGAAGAACAUUUAGUGUCAUAAAACAAACCACCCACCAAGAAAUAAGGAAACUGAGAAAAGCCCACACACCAACGUCAUGUUGCCAAGCUCAGCUCUAAAACAAAGCCUUACAACACACCCUGGUGGAUUCUCUUGGAGGAAACUCCAUUUUCUAAUGGAUCCUGAGGAGUUCUGUCUUCUUUUUUACUCCUACUGGUGAUGACAGUGUGCAUUGGUGAUAAGGACUGGACAUUGACCUUGUGAUGAG
This 718-nucleotide long non-coding RNA is filed under the name Homo sapiens (human). Its description in RNAcentral is "HSALNT0174185". Lineage: Eukaryota; Metazoa; Chordata; Mammalia; Primates; Hominidae. The record is from RNAcentral.